GAUGAACGCUGGCGGCGUGCCUAAUACGUGCAAGUCGAGCGAACGGACGAGAAGCUUGCUUCUCUGAUGUUAGCGGCGAACGGGUGAGUAACACGUGGAUAACCUACCUAUAAGACUGGGAUAACUUCGGGAAACCGUAGCUAAUACCGGAUAAUAUUUUGAACCGCAUGGUUCAAAAGUGAAAGACGGUCUUGCUGUCACUUAUAGAUGGAUCCGCGCUGCAUAGCUAGUUGGUAAGGUAACGGCUUACCAAGGCAACGAUGCAUAGCCGACCUGAGAGGGUGAUCGGCCACACUGGAACUGAGACACGGUCCAGACUCCUACGGGAGGCAGCAGUAGGGAAUCUUCCGCAAUGGGCGAAAGCCUGACGGAGCAACGCCGCGUGAGUGAUGAAGGUCUUCGGAUCGUAAAACUCUGUUAUUAGGGAAGAACAUAUGUGUAAGUAACUGUGCACAUCUUGACGGUACCUAAUCAGAAAGCCACGGCUAACUACGUG
RNAcentral lists this ribosomal RNA (496 nucleotides) under uncultured bacterium. Its description in RNAcentral is "partial 16S ribosomal RNA". It matches the Rfam family "Bacterial small subunit ribosomal RNA", at positions 28 to 507 of the family's 1533-position model. The record is from RNAcentral.